GGCUGGUUAGCUCAGUCAGUUUGAGUGUGGUGCUGCUAACACCAAGGUCACGAGUUCAAUUCCCAUUCGGUCC
This 73-nucleotide transfer RNA is filed under the name Apaloderma vittatum (bar-tailed trogon). It matches the Rfam family "tRNA". From Rfam's summary of the family: Transfer RNA (tRNA) molecules are approximately 80 nucleotides in length. Their secondary structure includes four short double-helical elements and three loops (D, anti-codon, and T loops). Lineage: Eukaryota; Metazoa; Chordata; Aves; Trogoniformes; Trogonidae. The record is from Rfam by way of RNAcentral.